AUUGAACGCUGGCGGCAGGCCUAACACAUGCAAGUCGAGCGAGCGGCGGAAGGGUGAGUAAUGCAGGGGGAUCUGCACGAUAGAGGGGGAUAACUACGGGAAAAGGUGGCUAAUACCGCAUACUAUCGGAUGACCCCAUAUGGGAUUAGCUAGUAGGUGGGGUAACGGCUGACCUAGGCGACGAUCUCUAGCUGGUUUGAUAGGAUGUGCAGCCACACGGAGACUGAUGCCCGGCCCAGACUCCGACGGGAGGCAGCCGUGUGGAAUAUUGCACAAUGGGCGCAAGCCUGAUGCAGCCAUGCCGCGUGUAUUAAGAAGGCCUGAGGGUUGUAAAGUACUUUCAGCGGGGAGGCGUGACCCGCAGAAGAAGCACCGGCUAACUCCGUGCCAGCAGCCGCGGUAAUAC
RNAcentral lists this ribosomal RNA (406 nucleotides) under uncultured bacterium. RNAcentral's name for it is "partial 16S ribosomal RNA". It matches the Rfam family "Bacterial small subunit ribosomal RNA", at positions 30 to 526 of the family's 1533-position model. The record is from RNAcentral.